GCAGGACAAGUAAUGGCAGUUAGUAUUGAACAAAGUGGACCGCUCCCAAACUUCAUGCGUGAAUGGUGCUACAGAUACCUGUGCUCUGGUGAUUCAGACAGCAUACAGGUGUCAAGUAAUGAUGUCACAGACUCAGAGCUGUUGCACCUUAUUACAGAGGUAAACAGGGCAACUGAUGAGAACAUUAAUGACCUUAUUGAUGACAUUGUAGGCUGUGGUUAUACUGGAAAAGUGUCUGUGGACAAAAAAGACCUUAUUACCAGGGCUGUUGUCCUGCACUCAACAAUGAGACUUGUACCGAUGCUUGAGCAGCUAAGAAAUGGUCUGCGGCUGUACGGCCUCCUUGAGGUGAUGGAGACGCACCCAAGCCUUUGUCUGCCUCUGUUUGUUCCAGGGGAAGAUGACAGAGUGGAUGCAGCAUUUGUCCUGGAAAGGUGCAAACCCGUAUUCAGUGAGAAGGGUUCUGUGAAAUACAGCAGAGAAAUAAACAUCAUGAACUUUUUUCAAGACUUUCUACAAGAUAUUGAGGACUGUGGUAUGUUUCAGCUGGCAGUAGUAUGUUAGUUAUUGCCUAUUAACAAUGGUAAAGUGGAGGGAUAAUGUUUUGGCUGGUGUCUGUGCAUGUCCAUUUGUAUGUACUCUUAGCAACAUAUUUUCAGAUCACUGAACAAUUUUCACUGAAGCUAGUAAACAUUGAUCAUACAUGUACAGUCAUAUUCAAUAAAUUAGAAUAUGCAAUCCAGUGAGGCUUGGAGCAGGUAUGAAACACAUUUCAUUAAGCCCACAUUUCUGGAUUUUAAAAAAAUGGCUACAACAUUGUCAGUUUCAUAGAUAUUGAGCUAGUUUUGUAUGUAAGUAGCUGAGAGUGAUCCCUAAUUUAUACUCUGAGCACUAUUUGAUCCUGUGACAUCUGUUUAAAACUUUUUAAUAACAAUUGGAGUUAAUCUGCAUGAUCCUAUUUAAAAUAUAUCAUGAACAACUAGACAUUUCUAUGACCCUUUCAGAAAUCACUGGGUGUACAUCUAUACAGCACAUGAAAAAGGUUUAAAAUAAAGCAACUAGACCUCACUUCUUGUGGUUGAAGAUGUUUCGCGCUAAGAGCAAAAUGUCUUCAACUGUCUUUAACCACAAGAACUGAAGUCCAGUUGCUUUAUUUAUAAACCAUUUUGGAAUUUGCCAUGUCUGAGAACCUUUAUUAGCAUAUCUAUACAGCUGGUAAACCUUUUAGCUAAACCCAAUUCAAUAUGUCUGCUGCAAUUAAUUGACCUUAGCCUACACAAAAAUGGUUGUAACUCAAUGUGUUUUACAGAUGCUGAGUUACAUUUACAUUGUGAUAGUAACUAGUUCAUUCACUAUCAUACUGCAAGUGCCAACAUAUCAUGGAGGAUCACAGAAAUAUUGCUAUAUAGUAUGAGAUUAUGCAUGAUUUCAAGGUUUAACCCAAACUGUUACCACUUUCUCAACAUAAGAUGAUUUUAGUCUAAAACUGACAGGAAAGGUAGCAUUUCUUUUCUAGAAAUACUAGGCGUUUGUUUUCUUUUUCCCUCACCAACAUGAAUCUUUCUUUGAAGAAAAAGAUGGCCAGUGUGAUGAAGAAAGCAAUGAUCCACAGCAGCUGACUGUUGGGAAAGUCAUGCUGUGGAUGACAGGACAGGCGCACAAACCUAUACUGCCAAGUGAGAAGAAGGAUUUCUUUAUAACUGUGAAAUUCUACCAUGACUGUGACACGCAUCAUACUAUCUGUUUUCCUAUUGUUAGUGCAUGUAGCCGCACCAUUACAUUUCCAGUUGCUCAUCUGACAACCCUGAUCGUGUUCAAAGAAAAUAUGGUAACAUCCUUAACUCAUGGGCAGUCCUUUAAUAGGGCCUGAGACAUUUGGCCUUUUCAUUGAUGCAGUUACUACUUAAAGCCAUAACUACACUUUUGGUGUUUAUAUUUUUAUUUACUGCAGGUUUUGUGUGAACAAAAUAAGUUUUUUGGUUUUGAUAGUUCCAUCAAUUUCAUGUAAAAUUCUUUUAAGUUUAACAGUUUUUGUUUUGUUUUACUAGUGGUGUUGUAUAACCUACUUGUAAGUGCUGACAAGUGGCUCAAGUUAAAAUAAAUUCAUGGUCAAGCAUUGACAUUUUUUAAAUUCUUUAAUAAAGUUUAUAAAAACA
Molecule: long non-coding RNA, 2156 nt
Organism: Girardinichthys multiradiatus
Lineage: Eukaryota; Metazoa; Chordata; Actinopteri; Cyprinodontiformes; Goodeidae
Exons: 4
Source: RefSeq, a predicted model, not a curated record